This 406-nucleotide ribosomal RNA is filed under the name uncultured bacterium. Its description in RNAcentral is "bacterial SSU rRNA". It matches the Rfam family "Bacterial small subunit ribosomal RNA", at positions 356 to 776 of the family's 1533-position model. The record is from RNAcentral.
GGGGAAUAUUGCACAAUGGGCGCAAGCCUGAUGCAGCAACGCCGCGUGAGGGAAGACGGUUUUCGGAUUGUAAACCUUUGUCUUUGGUGAAGAAGAAAGUGACGGUAACCACGGAGGAAGCCACGGCUAACUACGUGCCAGCAGCCGCGGUAAUACGUAGGUGGCAAGCGUUGUCCGGAAUUACUGGGUGUAAAGGGAGCGCAGGCGGGACUGCAAGUUGGAUGUGAAAUACCGAGGCUCAACCUCGGAGCUGCAUCCAAAACUGUAGUUCUUGAGUGAAGUAGAGGUAGGCGGAAUUCCGAGUGUAGCGGUGAAAUGCGUAGAUAUUCGGAGGAACACCAGUGGCGAAGGCGGCCUACUGGGCUUUAACUGACGCUGAGGCACGAAGGCCAGGGGAGCGAAAGGG